GGAUUCAACAGAAGAAGAAGCACAGUUCACCCGUGUGUGUGGCGUCCACUUUAUAUCCGGAGAAGCGGCAAAGCUUUAUGAUAAAACAAACCCAGAUUGGGCGCCAACACAAAAAUGAGGACACGAAAAGAUCAGGACGAAUGCUCAUCUCGCAGCAUCAAGAAGCAGCAGGACGAAGGAAAGAUCUGCCAAGAAAGCAAAAUCCGAAGCAGCCCAAGCCUCAGUGUCUUUGAAUACACUAGAUCUAGAAUGUGUAUCAACUUCGCCAGAUGUUUACAAUAUAUGUAUAUAAAGUCCCUAAGUUUAAAAGCAUGUGCUGAUUAAUAUAUUUAAUGAAAUUGUUAUUUUAGUUUUACUAAUACAUGUUUACUUUUUGUUGAACAGAUGUACCAGAUUCAAACAAUGAAAUUGUCACAGAUGAAAAGCUCCCAGAGACCAGAGAUCGUGAAUGCCCAACAGAUCUCACGUGGUUACAAAUAUCUGCAAUGGAGCAGUGCAAUCCAAACAUGACUUUCCAAUUGGUGGAACUGAAGAAUAAAUGAUUGGACGCAGAUUUAACUGAAGCCAGUUUUCAGAUUAAUGAAGAGAAAACUAAAUUGUACACUGGACGUGCACAUUUCAUGAUACUACAGCAAGUAAUGUCAAUAUGUGGUGGAUUAGUUUAUUCAGGCACGCUCAACUCUCUAACAAAGUUUCAAGAACUCCUCUUCGUACUCAUGCACCUACGCCUUAACAUGCCCUUUGAAGAUUUGAGUUAUAGAUUUUGAAUAUCUAGGUCUACAGCAUGCCGAGUAUUUGACAAAUGGUUCGAUGUGUUGAGUGUCAGAUUGGACUUUUUAAUGUUGUGGCCCGAUGGAGAAAACCUACAAAAAAACGUGCCAGCUGUCUUCAAACAGAAUUUUGGGAGCCGUGUAUCAGUCAUUAUUGAUUGUGUUGAAGUCUUUACCAACAGGCCAUCAAGUCUCAUAGCUAGAGCAGUUACAUGGUCAAACUAUAAGCACCAUAACACUGUAACGUUUCUUAUCGGUGUUACCCCACAAGGUGGAACUUCAUUCAUUUCUAAAGCCUGGGGAGGGCGGGUUAGUGACAAACACUUAACUGAUAAUUGUGGGACAUUAGAGAAGUUACCUCCAGGGGAUAUAGUGUUAGCUGACAGGGGGGUUUGACAUUGCUGACAGUGUUGGUCUUUAUGGAGCAUCCCUGAACAUCCUGCAUUUACACGUGGAAACAGCCAGUUGUCAGCAAUAGAAGUUGAACAAACAAGAAAGAUAGCGACUGUAAGAAUACAUGUGCAGCGUGUAAUUGGUUUAGUUAGGCGCAGGUAUGUCAUUUUGCAAAGUAUCUUACUGAUAGACACUAUUACUGCUAAGCCUGGACAAUCUUUGUCACCUAUUGAUAAGAUUGCUAAAGUUUGUUGUGCAUUGUGUAAUUUAUCUCCAUCAAUUGUUCCUUUGCAAUAAUAUUGAUACGAGUCGUUUGUGACAUACUAGCAACAUUUUGUAUUUUUCAUAUUUAAAAGAUGUUUUGUCAGAAUGUUAGUAUACUUUCAUUGAAGUAUUAUUAUUGACACUGUCAUUGAAAUAAUUAAAAGAAAUGACACAUA
Long non-coding RNA from Cottoperca gobio, 1603 nucleotides. RefSeq lists it as uncharacterized. The record is from RefSeq and is a predicted model, not a curated record. The transcript is spliced from 2 exons. NCBI's taxonomy places the organism in Eukaryota, Metazoa, Chordata, Actinopteri, Perciformes, Bovichtidae.